Molecule: unclassified non-coding RNA, 318 nt
Filed under: Hevea brasiliensis (rubber tree)
Lineage: Eukaryota; Viridiplantae; Streptophyta; Magnoliopsida; Malpighiales; Euphorbiaceae
Source: RNAcentral
GUAAGCCUAUCUUUGUGGGACAGAGGGAGAAUAACCUAUGGAUGUUAUAAUUUGCUUGUGUUGGCAUAGCGUGAGGCUAGUGAUCGGCAGAAGACUAUAGGGAGGACAAACACUUAUAAAAUGUGAAUGUGAUGCUGUUUUUUUGACGCAUCAUGAAGGUCAAGAUACACCCACAUACAACACACAACGUGUUUGAGAAAAUAAUUCUGCAGAAUUUUAUAUAUCAAAACUUAAAAUCUGAAAAUACAUAGAAUAUAUGGGGCUAUUUAUAAAUUUUUGAUCUCCUAGACCUAGUAGGAAAAUUAAUCUACUAUUUAG